GGGGUUGUGGCUCAGUGGUAGAGCACUUGCCUUGCAAGUGUGGGACCCUAGGUUCGAUCCUCAGCACCA
Molecule: non-coding RNA, 69 nt
Organism: Ictidomys tridecemlineatus (thirteen-lined ground squirrel)
Lineage: Eukaryota; Metazoa; Chordata; Mammalia; Rodentia; Sciuridae
Source: Rfam